GUGGAGCAUGUGGCUUAAUUUGACUCAACGCGGGGAAUCUUACUAGGUCCGGACCGAGUCUAUGAACGUCGUACCGUUGGGUGCUACGUGAUUACUGGAUGAGUGGUGCAUGGCCGUUCUUAGUUCGUGGUGUUAAUUGUCUACUUAAUUGUUUUGAUUCUCGCCUCGUACGAGAAUUGGUAACGAACGAGAUCGAGACCCGUGGUUUGAAUUCGGUAUAUCUACGGGGAUCGCGUAAUACUCAACGGUACGAUCGAAAGACUCGGCAAUAACAGGUCUGUGAUGCCCUCAGAUGUUCUAGGCUGCAMACGUGCUACAUUGUGAGUUGUAGUAUAUUGUGUAUGCGUAGAUAUGUCUAAGAUCCCCCGCAUCGAGUCUCAAUUACUCACGUGGUUGGACUCACCGAUUGUCAAUUAUUCGGUAUACUAA
RNAcentral lists this ribosomal RNA (429 nucleotides) under Amphistegina lobifera. RNAcentral's name for it is "SSU rRNA". Lineage: Eukaryota; Foraminifera; Rotaliida; Amphisteginidae. The record is from RNAcentral.